This 253-nucleotide ribosomal RNA is filed under the name uncultured bacterium. Its description in RNAcentral is "partial 16S ribosomal RNA". It matches the Rfam family "Bacterial small subunit ribosomal RNA", at positions 524 to 776 of the family's 1533-position model. The record is from RNAcentral.
UACAGAGGCUGCAAGCGUUAUUCGGAUUCACUGGGCGUAAAGGGUGCGCAGGCGGCCGUGUGUGUGAGGCGUGAAAGCCCGGAGCUCAACUCCGGAAUUGCACCUCAAACUACACGGCUAGAGCAUUGGAGAGGGUAGCGGAAUUCACGGUGUAGCAGUGAAAUGCGUAGAUAUCGUGAGGAACACCAGAGGCGAAGGCGGCUACCUGGACAAUUGCUGACGCUCAGGCACGAAAGCGUGGGGAGCAAAAGGG